GAGAAAGCAGGGGACCUUCGGGCCUUGCGCUAUCAGAUGAGCCUAGGUCGGAUUAGCUAGUUGGUGGGGUAAUGGCUCACCAAGGCGACGAUCCGUAACUGGUCUGAGAGGAUGAUCAGUCACACUGGAACUGAGACACGGUCCAGACUCCUACGGGAGGCAGCAGUGGGGAAUAUUGGACAAUGGGCGAAAGCCUGAUCCAGCCAUGCCGCGUGUGUGAAGAAGGUCUUCGGAUUGUAAAGCACUUUAAGUUGGGAGGAAGGGCAGUAAGUUAAUACCUUGCUGUUUUGACGUUACCGACAGAAUAAGCACCGGCUAACUCUGUGCCAGCAGCCGCGGUAAUACAGAGGGUGCAAGCGUUAAUUCGGAAUUACUGGGGGCGUAAAAGCGCGCGUAGGUGGUUUGUUAAGUUGGAUGUGAAAGCCCCCGGGCUCAACCUUGGGAACUGCAUCCAAAACUGGCAAGCUAGAGUACGGUAGAGGGUGGUGGAAUUUCCUGUGUAGCGGUGAAAUGCGUAGAUAUAGGAAGGAACACCAGUGGCGAAGGCCCGACCACCUGGACUGAUACUGACACUGAGGUGCGAAAGCGUGGGGAGCAAACAGGAUUAGAUACCCUGGUAGUCCACGCCGUAAACGAUGUCAACUAGCCGUUGGAAUCCUUGACAUUUUAGUGGCGCAGCUAACGCAUUAAGUUGACCGCCCUGGGGAGUACGGCCGCAAGGUUAAAACUCAAAUGAAUUGACGGGGGGCCCCGCACAAGCGGUGGGAGCAUGUGGUUUAAUUCGAAGCAACGCGAAGAACCUUACCAGGCCUUGACAUACAGAGAACUUUCCGAGAUAAAUUGGUGCCUUCGGGAACUCUGACACAGGUGCUACAUGGCUGUCGUCAGCUCGUGUCGUGAGAUCUCCGGGUUAAGUCCCGUAACGAGCACAACCCUUGUCCUUAGUUACCAGCACGUAAUGGUGGGCACUCUAAGGAGACUGCCGGUACAAACCGCAGCAACGCCCGAUGACUCAAUCAUCAUGGCCUUGACGGCCUGG
RNAcentral lists this ribosomal RNA (1039 nucleotides) under Pseudomonas sp. Its description in RNAcentral is "bacterial SSU rRNA". It matches the Rfam family "Bacterial small subunit ribosomal RNA", at positions 200 to 1212 of the family's 1533-position model. Lineage: Bacteria; Pseudomonadati; Pseudomonadota; Gammaproteobacteria; Pseudomonadales; Pseudomonadaceae. The record is from RNAcentral.